ACUAGCAGAAAAGUCACCAUUUCAGACUUACCCUCCCGAGGUCAUCUUUUUGCUGACACACACAGCCCCAGCCAGGACUGCUCCCAACUAAGUCACAGCGAUGCUGACUCCUCCGGGUUCCUGAAACUGCCACGGGACUGAGCCCAUCUGCAUUGCCCAAAUCUCAAAUCCCAGAGCUGCGUUAUGGGCAUUUUGCAGAUUGAGAAAGAAGGGCAAAGAGAAGUGCAUGGAUCUGCCUGCACAUUGAUGUGGUGACACCACAGCCCUGCCAGCACUGCAGACACAGCAAGGCCAGCAGGUCUCACAUUCAAGCACACAGCAAAACCAUCAGCUUGACCCCUGUGCUUUCCCUGUGUACUAACACUUCAGCAUUAAGACCUCUUAGCUCCAAAAUGGCAGAGAUUGUUGUCAAAGAAAAAGGUCUACAAUACCCAUGCUCAGGCAAAAAGGAAUGGGAGAACAGGAGAUUGCGAGCCGAGGAUUUAUGGCUUCUUUCCACUGAAUGAUGUGCUGAAGCCAAGGUUUUAUGUGAUGUUUCUCCGGCAGCAAAUGAAUACACAACCAGGCAUGUGAAGGAAUGAGGCUGAGGCUGCAUGUCCAGUGGCUCCUCUCAUCAGCACUGAGCUGAUGCAUGGCUGUGCUUUGCCUUGCGUCAAACCCUAACACAAUGCUCCUCUGUGUCCUCUUCCUCUUGAGGCUCCCCAGCAGCUUUCAGCAGCAUUCGCCCUUCCCAGGAUUAGCCCGAAUUAGGUCAGAGUUUAUCUGGGAGGGACUGCCUGUUCUGCUCUCUGUUUGCAGAAGAAGAUCCCUAUCUGCAGUCGGGGGCUCCUCACCGCUGUGAUAACACAAGCUGUCGUUAGAAGUGCCAGAUACACUGCAUAAAUAGAGAAAACCUCCCCGCAGUUAAGGACACCUGAAUGACAAGAUGCUAAUGUUGGAAUUUGGGAUAAUGAGAACACACUGGGACUGCCCCUUGCGCCUACAAACCCUCAGAAGCAUGGCAUCAAGAUCUACUGGUACACGAACUUCCUUGGUCCCUCCUUGAGGCCUGGCCAAGUUUGAGGUGGAAUCCAAAGAGGGAGAAUGAAACCAGAUGUUUCCACCUAACUGUCAUGUAAGCUUAUUUAUUCAACAAUAUAAAAGCUGGAGCCUCUUGUAGAGAAGUUGGAGACCUCACCUACAAGUGGACACACUGCGUAGGACCUCCCAGUUGCCAGGAAAGGGUCUCCAAAUCCUUGCUGCAACCGGGGCUCCCCAGCAACUGCGGAUCUGGAUGAUGGACAAAUCCCAAAUCUGACCCUGACUGAGAAGAGCUGCAGCCUGCCAGGAUCAGUGCACCUUCCCAGCUCUCCUUACUGGCACAUUUUUGGAAGGCAGCAGAGCAGGGAGCAGCACCGACCUGCUCAGCCUUUGGGAAGCAAGAGGAGCCAAAGGCCGACCCAAGGGGUACUGCUGUGCUGAAAGGAAGCCCAUCAAAUCGCUAUCCCACACGUAAGCCUCAGUGCUGUGGGGUUGUAAUAAUGGCUUUCUUGAACUAUGGCAUCUCUCAACUAGUGGAAUACACCGAAUUCAUGCAUCUCUCACAGGGGUCCACUAUUCCACUUCAGCUAGAAAGAAAGUCACCCGCAGCAGUUAUAAAAGACUCAAGAGGGAAUUAGGCUCUGAAUUCCCAUUGAAUUAGCAUUGUUUACUCAGUAGUCAGAAGUAUAAUGGUUGUUAAUGACUCCUUAACGAGUCAAGUUAUAACGCAACAUGUGGCGAAGCACAAUAAACAAAAAGG
This is a long non-coding RNA of Gallus gallus (chicken), 1780 nucleotides long. The record is from Ensembl. Lineage: Eukaryota; Metazoa; Chordata; Aves; Galliformes; Phasianidae.